CCUACGGGAGGCAGCAGUGGGGAAUAUUGCACAAUGGGGGAAACCCUGAUGCAGCGACGCCGCGUGAGUGAAGAAGUAUUUCGGUAUGUAAAGCUCUAUCAGCAGGGAAGAAAAUGACGGUACCUGCCUAAGAAGCCCCGGCUAACUACGUGCCAGCAGCCGCGGUAAU
Molecule: ribosomal RNA, 169 nt
Filed under: uncultured bacterium
Lineage: Bacteria
Description: partial 16S ribosomal RNA
Rfam family: Bacterial small subunit ribosomal RNA
Source: RNAcentral